Molecule: ribosomal RNA, 897 nt
Filed under: Simulium nakhonense
Lineage: Eukaryota; Metazoa; Arthropoda; Insecta; Diptera; Simuliidae
Description: partial 16S ribosomal RNA
Source: RNAcentral
UUUUAAUAUAUCUAGUUUUUUAAGAAAUAAAUUUAAUUUAGAUGUUUUUUUUUAAUAAUUUAAUUUUAAAAAUUAUUAUAAGAAAUCAUUAAUAUUUUAAGGGAUGAGCUUUAAAAUAAAAUUUUAUAAAUAACUGUUAUUAAGUAAUAAUUGUAAGCUUAGAAUUAGCUAUCAAUAGAAAUUAUGUUUUAAUUUAUUUUUUAUUUAAUAUUAUUUAUUAUUUAUUUUAAAUUUUUUAUUAAAAUAUAAAUUUUAAUUUUAUAAAUUUAUUAAUAAUGAUAAAAUUAGUAAAUAUUUAUAAUUAUAUAAAUAAAUCUUUAAUUGAUUGGUUUUUAUAAUUAAUUCGGCAAAUUUUGUGCUCACCUGUUUAUCAAAAACAUGUCUUUUUAGUUAUUUAAUAUAAAGUCUGACCUGCCCACUGAAUUUAUUUUGAAGGGCCGCAGUAUUUUGACUGUGCAAAGGUAGCAUAAUCAUUAGUCUUUUAAUUGAAGGCUGGUAUGAAUGGUUGGAUGAGGUACAAGCUGUGUCAUAAAAAUUAGUUUUUGAAUUUACCUUUUUAGUCAAAAGGCUAAAAUAGUAUUAAAAGACGAGAAGACCCUAUAGAGCUUUAUAUAAUUUUUAUUUAAAUUAUUAAGAUUUCUUAAAUUUAAUUAUUUCAUUAUAUUUUGUUGGGGUGACAAUAAAAUUUAUAAAACUUUUAUUUUUAUUUACCAUUAAUAUAUGUUUAUAUGAUCCAGUUUUAUUGAUUAUAAAUUUAAGUUACCUUAGGGAUAACAGCGUAAUUUUUUUUGAGAGUUCUUAUCGACAAAAAAGAUUGCGACCUCGAUGUUGGAUUAAGAGUAAUUUUGGGUGUAGAAGUUCAAAGUUUAAGUCUGUUCGACUUUUAAAUUCUUACAU